Molecule: ribosomal RNA, 94 nt
Filed under: Pseudomonas sp. CAH-1
Lineage: Bacteria; Pseudomonadati; Pseudomonadota; Gammaproteobacteria; Pseudomonadales; Pseudomonadaceae
Description: partial 16S ribosomal RNA
Source: RNAcentral
UGAGCCAAGUUUAGGGUUUCUUAAAAACCCAAGCAGUAUUGAACUGAAGAGUUUGAUCAUGGCUCAGAUUGAACGCUGGCGGCAGGCCUAACAC